ACAAAUUGUUACCCGGUUCCAGUCCGGUCAAAGCCUGGUCUUCAACCAUGUUCGAAUCAUCAACAGAAACCAGCACCUCGGUUUUAGUCUCUAUAGGUUCACAUGCAGUUGCGGGUUGUACUUGAGGCAAUUCUGGUGGUACAUCAGCUUUAUUCUCUACUGUCACACAUGCAGUUGCGGGUUGUACUUGAGGCAACUCUGGUGGUACUUUAACCAAAGAGCUACACACCAUCCCUUCUUUAUGUGGUGCUUCAGCAGCAACGAUUCGGCGGCGCUUCUUACUGUGACGCGUGUUUAAGCCUACUUGGCCCGGUCUUAACUUGUGAACAUUAAAAUUAAAAUUAAAAUAAUAAAAAAAAAAAAACAAUAAAUGAAAGUAUGUUGCUACUUCUUGCAUUUAGCCCAAAAUAAACUGCCCAAAAUCUGAACAACUUAC
RNAcentral lists this long non-coding RNA (436 nucleotides) under Lactuca sativa (garden lettuce). RNAcentral's name for it is "long non-coding RNA (LSAT_LNC007262)". The record is from RNAcentral. Lineage: Eukaryota; Viridiplantae; Streptophyta; Magnoliopsida; Asterales; Asteraceae.